This 254-nucleotide ribosomal RNA is filed under the name uncultured bacterium. RNAcentral describes it as "partial 16S ribosomal RNA". It matches the Rfam family "Bacterial small subunit ribosomal RNA", at positions 524 to 776 of the family's 1533-position model. The record is from RNAcentral.
UACGGGGGGGGGCAAGCGUUGUUCGGAAUUACUGGGCGUAAAGGGUUCGUAGGUGGCUUGUUAAGUCAGACGUGAAGUCCCUCGGCUCAACCGGGGAACUGCGUCUGAGACUGAUGAGCUCGAGUGCAGGAGAGGAACGCGGAAUUCCAGGUGUAGCGGUGAAAUGCGUAGAUAUCUGGAGGAACACCGGUGGCGAAGGCGGCGUUCUGGACUGCAACUGACACUGAGGAACGAAAGCCAGGGGAGCAAACGGG